This is a long non-coding RNA of Leopardus geoffroyi (Geoffroy's cat), 4450 nucleotides long. RefSeq lists it as uncharacterized. The record is from RefSeq and is a predicted model, not a curated record. NCBI's taxonomy places the organism in Eukaryota, Metazoa, Chordata, Mammalia, Carnivora, Felidae. The transcript has 7 exons.
ACCCAGCAAUACGCACUAACAACAACAACAACAACAACAACACAAUAAAAAGAGUUUGGAAGUUGGACCAUCAGAUUGGUCCCUGGGAGGGCUGCUUGAUCUUGCUGUUUCUGGAGGCCCCACCAUCUUCUUUGCUUCGGGUAGUCAGCUUUCUGGGUUUUUCCUUUUCCCAGUCUUCUCUCAGCUGUGUCUCUGAAGAGCUCAGAUCACCCUGGCCACAGGGAUUGGUCCAGAGACGGGGAAGUCAGCCUUAGGACGUUUGUUGGAAAUUCUGGAAGGGGUUCUCUUUCCCCUGGCAUGGCCAAGCUGAUAGAAGUAUACCCAGAGAUGCUUCGUCUGUGCUCGGGGAGACUCUUCUGGAGAAUAAAGCCACACAGGAGAGCAGAGUGCAGUGAUGGAGAACACAUGUACUCAGUAACCUCAGUAGAGUGCCUGGAUACAGCCACGCCUGAAACACUGAAACCAUACCUCCUCCCACACAGUUCACUUCCAAGAGCCAGUUCCUUUUUUCUCUUGCUUGCUGAAGCCCGUUUGACUUGGGUUUUUAUCUCUCCCAAAGUGAGGGGUUGGCCAGUAUGGGGAGGGGACUUAACCUCUCUGAACCCGAGUCUCUUCAUCUGUCAAAUGAUCUCCUUAGGAAACCUGAAAGGACUCGCCCUGAAGGGUGGGGCCCCGCAGGCCCUUCGGCAAGAGCGGGAAUGGUCUUGCUACAAAAGCUCUUGCCACGGUUAUCUCACCUGGUCCUUUGGAGAACUCUGUGAGGUGCUUAGCGACUGUAACGGUCGUGCUCCACUUGGAGGGGAGGACUCUCGCAGUCAGGGAGGUAGCAGGUACCAGAUCGCUUUCGUUUCCUCCUCCCCACCCCCCCCCCAAAAGAAAUAAAUAAAAACUUAAAAAGAAAUCCCCCCCAUUGGUGUAGGUGUCAGCCUCCACUGAGUGCAGGGUGGGAGCAGACCCUGGCUAACCGCUGGGGUGCUUGGCCGGUGGUCGUUGGGAUAAGGCUGCCUGGGAGGGCGGGCAGCGUUUGCCCUAAGAGCAGGAGAACACUGUGGUUGUGAAUCGUCCCGAGAAGAGGAGGGUCCCCGGACAGGUGGAAGCAGGAAGCCCUCCCUUGAACAGGGAAGUGCUCCCCAGGCACCAGGCACAACUUGUAAGAAUCAGCAGGAGCCUGGGGGUCUGGGAAGGGUUCCUGGACAGCGGGGGUUGAAGAUGGCACACACCUCUUGGAGAACAGCAAAGGCCAUCAAAAACUGAGUGUGAACCACGUACUCAGGCCCGGGCUUGGGGUUUCGAUCCCGUCGCGCCGGUACGACCAGGUAUUGUCCUCCCAUCGCUCGGAGGAAGGACCAAGCGCUACGGGGAUAACAGCUUUCUCAGAUCACGCAGUUAGGACGAACCUGGGUUCGGAUUCAAGCCUGGGUCGAAAGUUCGUGACUGUAGCUCAAGUGGAGGCAGAGGGGACCAGAGGGGGGGAGCUUUGUGGUGGUCCCCACUUUGGCAAUGAGCCACACCACGCCGUGGGAGUCCAACUCCUGUGACUCGGGCGGUGAGUCUUCCCCGGCUAUCCCUGCACCCUUGGGCCCCUGUGUGAUUGAGCCAUCGGGACCCACGGGCAGGGUCAGAUGGGCCGCAGUGACAGGCAGCAGGCCUGGCCUGCAGCCUGAGUAUGGGUCAGCCGGAGACCCCAAGGGGAAGGUGAAGCUUGGGCACAGAGUCUGGCACAGCGUCAGCUGGGCACUGGCGUCCGUGUGGCCCGCUUCUCCCACGGCCAUUCCGGCACCUGACAGCCCCGGGCCGGGAAGGGAAGGCCCGGAGUGCCUGGGCUCGACGUGGAGCUGGCAGGACCCGACUCUCCAUGUUCUCGUCACAGAACUACACCUGGGCUAAGCUUCCAAAGGAGCCACCCGGGCUAGGCCUCCCUCCCCAGGGCUUUGGAUGCCGGCACCCUCCCAGCCUCCUGUGCUCGCAGCGCUGGAGAAAGGCAAACGCGUGCCCCCGAGCCAGCUGCAUGAAGGCGAAGGGUCUGUCCCUUCGCUCCCAGACCAUGUCAAACUACAGAGUUAUAAACGAGAUGGAAAUACAUUUCUAAAGUAUCUGCUGCUUUAGCUCUUCUGUUCCAGGUUGAGCUGCCCGCUGGUUCCGGAGAAAGGACAAGAAAGCCCAGGGCUGCCCGGAAGCAGAGGCUGAGACUGAGCCUGGGGUCCCGCCUUCCCUCCCUGGGGCCCUGCAAAGACUCCAGGCCUCCUGCAGGACCCUGGCUCUGAGGCUCCCACACAGACUCCAGAAUGGCCUUUCCUUCCAUGUCUGAGUUCCCUUCUGCGUGGGGUCCCAGGUCUUCCUCCACCCCAUGGGCCAGAACCUUUUAUCUGGGAGCCCAGGGCUCUUUUCCCAGCCUUGCCUUGAGGGAGGCGUCUGAGUCCCGGAAGCUCACCUGCCGUCAUAGCUUUUGUCCACUUGCUUCCGAGGCACCACGCCUCGCUCUCCUGAGCGGCCAGUGCCGUGAUGAGUGUCGAGGACCAUGAUCCUCUUCACCUCUGUGUGCCUCUCUAAAAUCAAAGCCAGUCCUCCAACCAACCAACCCGGCCUCUGCUAAACAGACCAUAGCAGAGCCCUCCCACGUAUCGACGUGUAUUUCAGCCCGGGGUUUUCUGAAGAUGAUGCCUCCGUUCGCUUUAAAGGUCUCCGGCUCACGUCAUCCCCACGAUCAUCCCAGUGCCACGUCCUUAUUUUGCAGAUGUUGAAAUGGAGGCUCAGAGCAGGGGACUCCCUCAAGAAAUCAUGAAUCCCGAACCCUUGCCUCAGGCUCUGCUGUUGAGAAACCCACGCUUAAGAGCAGCUGGGUGGCCUGGAGCAGGUCAUCGGACAAUCUGAGCCUCAGCGCCCUCAACCAAUCCCUCGGGAGGUGUUGCAGGUAGGCCCAGCCAUGGAACCUAAGAGGGUAGAAGGAAGUUUUUCCUCCUCUGCAUCAUAUCCAUCACGCCCCAAAGUUUCUUCCUGCCCAUUGGGAAUCCCUCCUUCCCGCUCCUCCCCUCUUUAAAGCCUGUGGUUCUAAAGCGUGCUGUUGCGAACGGCGCUGCUGUGAACAUUCUUGUACGAGACUUUGGCGCCCGUCUGCACACACUUCCGCUGGCGUGGACUGCUAGGCCAGCGUGCGUGCUUGUGCUCAGCCUCUGGAAAUAGUGCCCGUGGCAGCAGCUCCCAGGAUGGUUCCAUUGAUCCCUGCUUCUCGGUGUUCACACUUGUUCUGGACCGAGCGUUUGGGUCCUGCCCAAAUUCGUAUGUUGAAGCCUUCGGGCUUCCCGGGGUGGCUGUAUUCGGAGACGGGGCCUCUGUGGAAGUAACGAAGAUUGACGUCCUAAGAGGGGGGCCCUGAUCUGAUAGGAUGGGUGUCCUUAUAAGAAGAGAUCAGGGAACUAGCCUGCUCUCUCUUACUUGCUUUAUCGUGUGCACUCUCUCACCACGCUGCCCCACUCCACGCACACACACACACACACACACACACACACAACGCUUUUCUGAACCUUGAGAGUAAGUUGUGUACAUGAUGACCUUUUACUCCCAAAUGAUUCCGUCUGUAUUUCUUAGGAACAUUCCCAUCCAUGAUCACCCUGCAGCUACCAACUUCAGUCUGCUUAACGUUGCCAUAAUACUUCUAUCUACCUUACUAUCUGUAUUUCCAUUUUUGAAGUUGAUCUAAUAAUGCCCUUUGUGGCGUCUUCCCUCUUCCAGUACAGAAUUCUGUCUAGAGUCAGGCAUUGUUCUUACUGUCACGUCUUUUCAGCUUCCUUCAAUCAGGAACAUUUCCAUGGCCUUUCUUUGUCUUUUAUGACAUUGACAUUUUGAACAAUACAGUCCCUCCCCCUCUUCCCUCUCAGAUGGAACGUUCCUCAUUUUGUUUGUCUGAUACUUUCUUAUGAUUAGAGGAAAUAUUGCUUUGCCGGCUGGCAUCCUGUGCGAGUGGUCGCCGGGUCUCGCAUCCGGGGCCACACCGUUUCUCUCUGCUCCUCGUUAAGGAUGCUAAUUUUGAUCACCUACCUGGUCCAGGUGGGGUUCAGUGAUAUUUUUUCCCUGGAACUGAUAAGCGACCUGUGAGGACAUUAUACUGUGAGCAGGAACCCUCUUUUUGAAGGUAGCUUAAUUCGAUGUAGUCUAACUUACUGGCUUUUUCCUUUAUAGUGGAUGUCUUUUGUGUCCAGUCAAAAAAAAAAAAAUUUUUUUUUUUUUUUGCCUAGCUCAGCCUCUAAAGGUAUUCUUCUAGUUUCUCCUAAAAGCUUUAUUAUUACUAGACCUUCGACAUUUAGAUCUGUGAUCCAUCUGGAAUGGAGGUUUUUUGUGCCUGAUGUAAGCUAGCGGUCAAGACGUGGAAAUCCAAGGAAUCCAGAUGCUUUUAUGUACUUAUUUAUUCUUUUUUUUUAAUGUUUCGUUCGUUUUUAAUGUUUUGAGGGAGACA